GACGAACGCUGGCGGCGUGCUUAACACAUGCAAGUCGAACGGAAAGGCCCUGCUUUUGUGGGGUGCUCGAGUGGCGAACGGGUGAGUAACACGUGAGUAACCUGCCCUUGACUUUGGGAUAACUUCAGGAAACUGGGGCUAAUACCGGAUAGGAGCUCCUGCGGCAUGGUGGGGGUUGGAAAGUUUCGGCGGUUGGGGAUGGACUCGCGGCUUAUCAGCUUGUUGGUGGGGUAGUGGCUUACCAAGGCUUUGACGGGUAGCCGGCCUGAGAGGGUGACCGGCCACAUUGGGACUGAGAUACGGCCCAGACUCCUACGGGAGGCAGCAGUGGGGAAUAUUGCACAAUGGGCGGAAGCCUGAUGCAGCAACGCCGCGUGCGGGAUGACGGCCUUCGGGUUGUAAACCGCUUUCGCCUGUGGCGAAGCGUGAGUGACGGUAAUGGGUAAAGAAGCACCGGCUAACUACGUG
Molecule: ribosomal RNA, 468 nt
Filed under: uncultured bacterium
Lineage: Bacteria
Description: partial 16S ribosomal RNA
Rfam family: Bacterial small subunit ribosomal RNA
Source: RNAcentral